AACAAAUUGCACAGUCACCCUGUGUACAGAGGCCAUCACAUGCUCUCUGAUCAUGUUCUUACCGGGUGUAUUGAGCACGUGGUGCGGCUGGAGGAGGUGGAGUGGGAAGGGAAGGUGACUUGUCCACACUGACACAGUGAGUAAGUGGCACAGCCACUGAAGGGAACCCAGAACUCUGACUCACAAGCUACUCUUUCCUGACACCACCCUGCUGAAAGGUGUAGGAGGAACAGGAUGGGUCAUGGACAGCACAUGAGGGCCAAAUGGGCUGGAGUGUUCAGUUUAGGUUUGUGAGAGAAGAAAUGACUGAAAUGCACCUUGACAGUGAAGAUGGUCACCAUGCUUGCAUCCUGACAGUAGUGAUUGGGAACCAUCUCUGAAAUUGAGGAUGGAGACAGAGCCGCCUUUUGUUACCUGUUGUGACUAGCAGUGGUCCAGUGGUCAUAGGCACACUGCCUAUGAGGAAACUGAGGCUCAAGAAAUUUGAGUCAAGUUCCCAAGAGAAACAUCUUACAAGCAGAGAUGGGAUUUAAAGAGAGGUUGCUUCUAACUACUGGGCUCUACUACCAGCCAAUGAGACUUGAACAGUUAUCACUGAAACUGACCCUCAUUUUCUAAGGGUCAGGGAUGGACUGAGAAAAAUGGUACUUGGAAUGUAGACACCAGGAUGCACUGAGGCCCCUACCUUGCACAAGAGAAUUGUGGGCACUCUCGUGUCCCUCAGUAAUGGGCACUUGACUUGUCUGAAUGGCUUACAUGCAGCCCAAAUGGCAGGCGCUGGGACUGCCGGCACAACUGCUGUCGGGAGAAGGUCUGUCCCUGUGCCACCCUGGCAACAAUGGACCAGCCUAUCUAGAAUCUUCUCUGCUGGCCAAGGCACUCUGCAACAUGAAGCGGCAAAGAGAGUAAAAGUGCUGAGCUUCUGCCAUAAAUCCAGUGCUGCACAGCGCCCCAUCCAUUUGGACCACUCACUGUCCAUCCUCUGUGGCAGCGGUCAUAGCCACUGUGCUGAUAGACUCUGUUUGCUACUCUUGAUUGAGUCUGAGUGACCUCCUGAUAAAGCUUUCCUUUAGGCCGCAAAGUGCGCAUCUCCUUUCCAUUUCAAUCAUCUGCAUCAUAAGUGUUUUCCACUUAAUGAGCACACACAGCCAUGAACAAUCCAGUGUGACUUGUAGCACUGUUAUCACGAGCAUCAGUUGGAAGGAUGGCCAAAAAAUCUCACCUGGAAAAGCACAGGACAGUGAGCAUCUGUGCUCCAUGCACCCAACUGCACCGAGACCCUUCUGCACUAAUGAGCAGGGCAGGCAGCUUGCUCCAGCACAGCUCAGUCACCCUGCAUUCCCCAGGCAAGGUGCUGCUCCCAUCAGGAGCUAAAGUCUUCCUGGAAAAGGAGAGCUGCUUUUCUCUCCCUGUUGGCCACCGCCCACUGGAGAGGUAGAAAUUGUUAAAGAUAUGUUUAUCAUAGUCCCUGCCCCAGUAACAAAUCACCUAAUGUGAAAUGCAGGGACAAAACAAGUAUGUAAAGAACUUUCAGGAAACUAAACAAGUAUGAUAAAAAUCUUUGGAUUAUAUACAGGCAAAAGGAAACUGCAUUUUCUGACAAAUGAAUACAAGUUGUAAGUGAGCCUUUGGGGGAGGAAUAACCAUCUUUCCUCCAAAUUUCCAGAAACUUGGUGAAGAAAUUUUUUUAAUCCUUACACCCUAAUUAGUUUAGUAACAAAUGAUGAGCAUAGUCAAGACUGUUGAAAGUAAGAGAAACAGAACUCAAAUAAAGGGCAAUAUAUUUAUUCAUUAUCUAAAAAUAUUCAGAACAGUUCCAGAUAUUCAAACAAUGUCUUCAGACUUAUUCUACAGGCUUCUGUUUUGCCUUCCUCUCCCAAUUUCAUUCUCAAGAAGGUAAUCCUUUUUUUAUUUUUUUUAUUUUUUUUGACAAGAUGUCCAACAGAAGUUCUGGGCUAAUUUUCUGGAGCCAAGAAGAGAAUUUCUCUUUUCCAGUACAUAUAGCCUAGUAGACGCCAACCGUAGGCUCACAGCCUCGCCUCUGACAGUCUCCUCAGUAACAUCUGCUCACUCCUGAAGCAUCAGCCUACUGAACCCUCUUGUUGGCCACUUAUGAACCUUGUGAUCUGUCCUGGGCUGCUGUAAGAGUCAACUCCACCAGAACCCAGGGACUGCGGGGCAGGGGGGGGGGGCCUCCCUAAAGAGAACUAGGGUCCUGCUCUCAUGGGAAGAAAUGAGUGUUGGGCAGACAAAAGCAACAAAUACCAUGACAUGGAACAAAAAUAAAUGUACAUUGCUACAGGAUUCUCAUUAAGAACUUUAAAAUCAUUCCCAGCUUUAUAAAGUAAUUUUUAAAAGGUCAACUACCUGGGUCUUUCAUAGAAUUUAUGAUUGCUUUGACCUAGUAUGCAGGUCAACAAAAAAUUCUUUGUACCUCUUACCAAUAAUGGUUGGCCAGGAACAUUUCCUGUUAAUUCCUACUUUAGAAUAUUGCAUAAGUCCUUAUUUCAGAAAUAAACAAAUAUAGAUUAAAAACAAACCAAAAAACUCAAAAAGUGUUCUGGUGAAAGUUUUCUAUAUUCACAUCACAUUUUUUUUAGCAAGAAAGACUAUCUGGCUAAAUAAUAAUUUAGAUUUUAAAAAAGAAAAAAUAGCAAUAGCUAUUUAUAAUAAAUACAAAGAGAUAAUAAGAAAAGAUAAAAUUUAAAAAAGUAGCCAUUCACUUGUUGCAAAUGCAAAGAAGACAUAUAAAAAGAAGUCUUUCAUGGGGUAGAUUUUGCCAUUUUCUAG
Long non-coding RNA from Heterocephalus glaber (naked mole-rat), 2790 nucleotides. NCBI's taxonomy places the organism in Eukaryota, Metazoa, Chordata, Mammalia, Rodentia, Bathyergidae. The record is from Ensembl.